Non-coding RNA from Plectropomus leopardus (leopard coralgrouper), 191 nucleotides. The record is from RefSeq and is a predicted model, not a curated record. NCBI's taxonomy places the organism in Eukaryota, Metazoa, Chordata, Actinopteri, Perciformes, Serranidae.
CUUUAAGUCAAACAGAGCAUUUCACUGCAGGAGUGGAAACUUGCAAGAAGCAUCAUGGCUGCAAGGGUCUGUGGAGUUCUUGCCCUUCUUGUUGUGUUUCUCAGUGGACUGAAUGCAUCAAGACCAGCUGUAAACCAGGAACUAUCCAAUCUUUUCAAUGAGCUGUGGAGGCUGGAUGUGAAUCGUUUAAC